ACCGAUUGAAUGAUCCGGUGA
RNAcentral lists this non-coding RNA (21 nucleotides) under Arabidopsis thaliana (thale cress). The record is from RNAcentral. Lineage: Eukaryota; Viridiplantae; Streptophyta; Magnoliopsida; Brassicales; Brassicaceae.